Molecule: non-coding RNA, 46 nt
Organism: Parastrongyloides trichosuri
Lineage: Eukaryota; Metazoa; Nematoda; Chromadorea; Rhabditida; Strongyloididae
Source: Rfam
CCAAAGGUUUUCAUUAAAACCACCAUGGAUCUCUUAUGUUUUAUUU